RNAcentral lists this transfer RNA (73 nucleotides) under Copidosoma floridanum. Its description in RNAcentral is "tRNA-Val". It matches the Rfam family "tRNA". Rfam says of the family: Transfer RNA (tRNA) molecules are approximately 80 nucleotides in length. Their secondary structure includes four short double-helical elements and three loops (D, anti-codon, and T loops). The record is from RNAcentral. Lineage: Eukaryota; Metazoa; Arthropoda; Insecta; Hymenoptera; Encyrtidae.
GCUUCAGUGGCGAAGUUGGUUAACGCGCCUUUCCAACAAAAAGGAGGCCCAGGUUCGACACCUGGCCGAAGUG